This 431-nucleotide ribosomal RNA is filed under the name uncultured bacterium. Its description in RNAcentral is "partial 16S ribosomal RNA". It matches the Rfam family "Bacterial small subunit ribosomal RNA", at positions 29 to 507 of the family's 1533-position model. The record is from RNAcentral.
AACGAACGCUGGCGGCAGGCUUAACACAUGCAAGUCGAACGCCCCGCAAGGGGAGUGGCAGACGGGUGAGUAACGCGUGGGAACAUACCCUUUUCUACGGAAUAGCUCUGGGAAACUGGAAUUAAUACCGUAUACGCCCUACGGGGGAAAGAUUUAUCGGGGAAGGAUUGGCCCGCGUUGGAUUAGCUAGUUGGUGGGGUAAAGGCCUACCAAGGCGACGAUCCAUAGCUGGUCUGAGAGGAUGAUCAGCCACAUUGGGACUGAGACACGGCCCAAACUCCUACGGGAGGCAGCAGUGGGGAAUAUUGGACAAUGGGCGCAAGCCUGAUCCAGCCAUGCCGCGUGAGUGAUGAAGGCCUUAGGGUUGUAAAGCUCUUUCAGCGAUGAAGAUAAUGACGGUAGUCGGAGAAGAAGCCCCGGCUAACUUCGUG